Molecule: ribosomal RNA, 92 nt
Filed under: Prevotellaceae bacterium
Lineage: Bacteria; Pseudomonadati; Bacteroidota; Bacteroidia; Bacteroidales; Prevotellaceae
Description: partial 16S ribosomal RNA
Rfam family: Bacterial small subunit ribosomal RNA
Source: RNAcentral
ACAAUGAAGAGUUUGAUCCUGGCUCAGGAUGAACGCUAGCGGCAGGCCUAACACAUGCAAGUCGAGGGGCAUCGGGUGUAGCAAUACAUGCC